UCCGGGUUGUACCCGGCGGUCUCGCCAGAGAGGUAACUAGGGACAAGGGUUGCGCUCGUUGCGGGACUUAACCCAACAUCUCACGACACGAGCUGACGACAGCCAUGCAGCACCUGUCACUCGAUUCCCGAAGGCACUCCUCUAUUUCUAGAGGAUUCCGAGGAUGUCAAGAGUAGGUAAGGUUCUUCGCGUUGCAUCGAAUUAAACCACAUGCUCCACCGCUUGUGCGAGCCCCCGUCAAUUCCUUUGAGUUUCAGCCUUGCGGCCGUACUCCCCAGGCGGGGCACUUCAUGCGUUAGCGCCGGUACUCCAAGGGUCGCUCCCCGGAGCACCUAGUGCCCAUCGUUUACGGCGUGGACUAC
Molecule: unclassified non-coding RNA, 362 nt
Filed under: uncultured bacterium
Lineage: Bacteria
Description: contains 16S-23S intergenic spacer region
Source: RNAcentral